AACGAACGCUGGCGGCGCGCCUAAUACAUGCAAGUCGAGCGAGAAGACGUAGCAAUACGUUUGUAAAGCGGCGAACGGGUGAGGAAUACAUGGGUAACCUACCCUCGAGUGGGGAAGUAACUAGCCGAAAGGUUAGCUAAUACCGCGUACGCUCCUUGGACUUCGGUUCAGGGAGGAAAGCGAUACCGUGGGUAUCGCGCUCUUGGAUGGGCUCAUGUCCUAUCAGCUUGUUGGUGAGGUAACGGCUCACCAAGGCUUCGACGGGUAGCUGGUCUGAGAGGACGAUCAGCCACACUGGCACUGCGACACGGGCCAGACUCCUACGGGAGGCAGCAGUAAGGAAUAUUGCGCAAUGGGCGAAAGCCUGACGCAGCGACGCCGCGUGGGGGGAGUGAA
Molecule: ribosomal RNA, 396 nt
Filed under: uncultured bacterium
Lineage: Bacteria
Description: bacterial SSU rRNA
Rfam family: Bacterial small subunit ribosomal RNA
Source: RNAcentral